This 77-nucleotide small nuclear RNA is filed under the name Suricata suricatta (meerkat). RNAcentral's name for it is "U2 spliceosomal RNA (ENSSSUG00005008787.1)". Lineage: Eukaryota; Metazoa; Chordata; Mammalia; Carnivora; Herpestidae. The record is from RNAcentral.
AUUGCUUCUCGGCCUUUUGGCUAAGAUCAAGUGUAGUAUCAAGGGGUCCCAGGAUGGUCAAAUCUGCAGAACCUUCU